GAUGAACGCUGGCGGCGUGCCUAAUACAUGCAAGUCGAGCGAACAGAUAAGGAGCUUGCUCCUUUGACGUUAGCGGCGGACGGGUGAGUAACACGUGGGUAACCUACCUAUAAGACUGGAAUAACUCCGGGAAACCGGGGCUAAUGCCGGAUAACAUUUAGAACCGCAUGGUUCUAAAGUGAAAGAUGGUUUUGCUAUCACUUAUAGAUGGACCCGCGCCGUAUUAGCUAGUUGGUAAGGUAACGGCUUACCAAGGCAACGAUACGUAGCCGACCUGAGAGGGUGAUCGGCCACACUGGAACUGAGACACGGUCCAGACUCCUACGGGAGGCAGCAGUAGGGAAUCUUCCGCAAUGGGCGAAAGCCUGACGGAGCAACGCCGCGUGAGUGCUGAAGGUCUUCGGAUCGUAAAACUCUGUUAUUAGGGAAGAACAAAUGUGUAAGUAACUGUGCACGUCUUGACGGUACCUAAUCAGAAAGCCACGGCUAACUACGUG
RNAcentral lists this ribosomal RNA (497 nucleotides) under uncultured bacterium. Its description in RNAcentral is "partial 16S ribosomal RNA". It matches the Rfam family "Bacterial small subunit ribosomal RNA", at positions 28 to 507 of the family's 1533-position model. The record is from RNAcentral.